Molecule: ribosomal RNA, 456 nt
Filed under: uncultured bacterium
Lineage: Bacteria
Description: bacterial SSU rRNA
Rfam family: Bacterial small subunit ribosomal RNA
Source: RNAcentral
GAUGAACGCUGGCGGCGUGCUUAACACAUGCAAGUCGAACGGGAAUUACUUUAUUGAAACUUCGGUCGAUAUGAUUUAAUUCUAGUGGCGGACGGGUGAGUAACGCGUGGGUAACCUGCCUUGUACAGGGGGAUAACAGUCAGAAAUGACUGCUAAUACCGCAUAAGCGCACAGAGCUGCAUGGCUCGGUGUGAAAAACUCCGGUGGUAUAAGAUGGACCCGCGUUGGAUUAGCUAGUUGGUGAGGUAACGGCCCACCAAGGCGACGAUCCAUAGCCGGCCUGAGAGGGUGAACGGCCACAUUGGGACUGAGACACGGCCCAGACUCCUACGGGAGGCAGCAGUGGGGAAUAUUGCACAAUGGGGGAAACCCUGAUGCAGCGACGCCGCGUGAAGGAAGAAGUAUCUCGGUAUGUAAACUUCUAUCAGCAGGGAAGAAAAUGACGGUACCUGACUA